This 387-nucleotide ribosomal RNA is filed under the name uncultured bacterium. RNAcentral's name for it is "bacterial SSU rRNA". It matches the Rfam family "Bacterial small subunit ribosomal RNA", at positions 29 to 417 of the family's 1533-position model. The record is from RNAcentral.
AUUAAACGCUGGCGGCAUGCCUUACACAUGCAAGUCGAACGGCAGCACGGGGGCAACCCUGGUGGCGAGUGGCGAACGGGUGAGUAAAACAUCGGAACGUGCCCUGGAGUGGGGGAUAACGUAGCGAAAGUUACGCUAAUACCGCAUAUUCUGUGAGCAGGAAAGCAGGGGAUCGCAAGACCUUGCGCUCUGGGAGCGGCCGAUGUCGGAUUAGCUAGUUGGUGGGGUAAAGGCCUACCAAGGCGACGAUCCGUAGCGGGUCUGAGAGGAUGAUCCGCCACACUGGGACUGAGACACGGCCCAGACUCCUACGGGAGGCAGCAGUGGGGAAUUUUGGACAAUGGGCGAAAGUCUGAUCCAGCCAUGCCGCGUGAGUGAAGAAGGCCU